AACCAGGACGGCAGCCUUCCCACAGCCACUCGGCGCGGACAUCCAUCCGCCACCGCUGCGGCCCCUGAACUCACCAACGAUCCAGCUGAGCAAACCGUCGAGUUCCAUGCUGUCAUCUGGAAUGCCUGAGCUGGGUGUCCCUUCUGGGAAAAGGAAGAAAUCCCCAAGGGGGCAAUGCCAGCUUUCCCACAGCCACUCGGAGCAGACAUCCCCGCCUGCUCUGCAGCCCCUGAACUCACCGUUGCUGAUCCACGUCAGGAUAUCAUCGAUCUCCGCGCUGUCAACCGGGAUGUCUGCGCUGGAGGUCAUGUCUGGAGAAGGCAAGAAAAUCCCCACGGGGGCAAUGCCAGCUUUCCCACACCCACUACUCCGGACACCCAACCCACCACCCCUGCAGACCAAAAACUCACCACUGAUCCACAUGAGCAGAUCGUCGAUGUCGCUGUCGACCGCGUCCUCUGGGAUGCCUGCGCUCGCUGUGGCUGCUGGAAAAGCAAGGACAUCCCCAGUGGGGCAAUGCCAGCUUUCCCACAGCCACCCGGUGCGGACAGCCUGCCGCACGCCCCGCAGCCCCCAAACUCACCCCCUGAGUCCAGCGCUGCGGUGCUGCAGCCCAGCGGAGCCGUGGCGGGAUGGGG
RNAcentral lists this long non-coding RNA (638 nucleotides) under Gallus gallus (chicken). Its description in RNAcentral is "lncRNA (ENSGALG00010020780.1)". Lineage: Eukaryota; Metazoa; Chordata; Aves; Galliformes; Phasianidae. The record is from RNAcentral.